UACGGGGGGAGCAAACGUUGUUCGGAAUCACUGGGCGUAAAGGGCGCGUAGGUGGCCCGUUAAGUGGCUGGUGAAAUCCCGCGGCUCAACUGCGGGGCUGCCGGUCAUACUGGCGAGCUAGAGCACGGUAGGGGCAGAUGGAAUUCCCGGUGUAGCGGUGGAAUGCGUAGAGAUCGGGAAGAAUACCAGUGGCGAAGGCGUUCUGCUGGGCCGUUGCUGACACUGAGGCGCGACAGCGUGGGGAGCAAACAGG
RNAcentral lists this ribosomal RNA (253 nucleotides) under uncultured bacterium. RNAcentral describes it as "partial 16S ribosomal RNA". It matches the Rfam family "Bacterial small subunit ribosomal RNA", at positions 524 to 776 of the family's 1533-position model. The record is from RNAcentral.